Molecule: long non-coding RNA, 562 nt
Organism: Hippocampus comes (tiger tail seahorse)
Lineage: Eukaryota; Metazoa; Chordata; Actinopteri; Syngnathiformes; Syngnathidae
Exons: 3
Source: RefSeq, a predicted model, not a curated record
AACGUUCACCUAUUUCUGUUUGUGGUCACGUAUGUGAAUGAAUCUCAGUUUGGGUCGAAAAGAUGUUCGAUUUGGGGAAGAAAGCAUUUCUUGCAUCUAUUUUGGAAAGCGUCCCAAAGUCUCGGCACUCUCCAUCCUGGCGCCCAGGUGACUAAUGGAAUGACACAACAACAAAGGGCCGUUGUGUUUUAUUGAGCCCUUCUCUUCGUCCUCCUCCUCCUCUCUUGACCGCUAUUCUCUCUAUUUUUCCUGCGCGGGGCCGUAAAGAAGGCCCGGCGAAUGGAGGGGAAUGCACCAUGUGCCGAGCGACAAACGGGAGAGCGCCAUGAAAGAGGGGAAAUGUAAAACGAGAAGGAGCGAGGCGGCUGAUGACGGAUAAUGGGAUAAUGGCGCUAAAAGAAUUAAAAAAAAAAAAAAAAAGAGGAGGAGGAGAAUGGGAUGUAAAAGAAGAGCAGGAAGAGGAACACAUAAAAGGACGUCGAGAUGAAGUUUCCACUGCGCCAGAUAGCAGAGAAAGGAAAGGAGGACAUUUUGUCCGUUUACAUUCAUUUUGCACUUGAAU